Non-coding RNA from Sesamum indicum (sesame), 888 nucleotides. The record is from RefSeq and is a predicted model, not a curated record. Lineage: Eukaryota; Viridiplantae; Streptophyta; Magnoliopsida; Lamiales; Pedaliaceae.
CUGUGCAUUGCUUUACAUUCCGUCACUUCAGAAACCCAACAAGCAACAAAAACCUUUGUUCCUCCUCCCACCUGAGGCUCUCAAUUUCGUACUCUCUCAAAUUGCUACUGUUAACACACAUAACAUCAUUCUUCAAACUUAAAACCAUACGGAUUCUACAGAUUUUAGCAGGUUGAGGUUGUGGAACUAGUACCAGAAUUAUUUAGCAACCCAUCCAGUUAAAACCCACAUGAUUAUUUGGGGUUUUGGUUAUCUAUUUUGCUUUUUUUGUUAAUUCUUUGGGGUUUUGAUUAAAUUAGUAUAAAUAUAGUUAACUGGGUUAGUGUUAUUUUCAAUCUUGAAAAACCCUCAAAAUUAGCGCAUUGACAUGUUUUCGCCCCCUUUCCUCGGUCCUCUUCUCACCCAGAAAAACAGAGGAAAGAAAAUCAAGAAAAGCUUUUAUUCACCGAUCUGCAUGCCUAGUCUGGUGAAAGAGCCUCGGUGGAGUACGCCGAGGAUGGCGGAGUCAAGGAGGCGAACAUGACUAUGCCUGCUGGUGCCCGUUUGUAGGGCACCACCGGCAGGAGAAGCAACGGCGGAGGUUGGCUACAACACAGCAAAAUGCGAGAAAGAAAAAAAUCGCUGGUAGAACCAAACCAAGAGUUUCAAGAAUUGGUGUGCGAAGGAGCUAAUGUUCUUCCAUCAAAGUUCAUAGGGGAUGCUUUCCGUGAUAGAUAUGGCAAGUGAAGACAAAGCCUGCACAAUGGAUUAUGUGGGUCAAAUCCUGAGUCGACAAGAUAAAAAUAGAUGCUAUACAAAAGAGAAAAAGAAAGCAUAUGAAACAGUGAAACCAAAGAGAAUAUCAAAGGAGGAGAUACUUCGUCUAACGGAAGAAAAGAAACAACUGAA